This 274-nucleotide ribosomal RNA is filed under the name uncultured bacterium. RNAcentral describes it as "partial 16S ribosomal RNA". It matches the Rfam family "Archaeal small subunit ribosomal RNA", at positions 473 to 747 of the family's 1478-position model. The record is from RNAcentral.
AUACCUGGAGCUCAAGUGGUGGCCGCUAUUAUUGGGCCUAAAACGUCCGUAGCCGGUUUAGUAAAUGCUUGGGUAAAUUGUGUAGCUUAACUAUACGAAUACCGGGUAGACUGCUAAGCUUGGGACCGGGAGAGGCUAGAGGUACUCCUAGGGUAGAGGUGAAAUUCUGUAAUCCUAGGGGGACCACCAGUGGCGAAGGCGUCUAGCUAGAACGGGUCUGACGGUGAGGGACGAAGCCCUGGGGCGCAAACCGGAUUAGAUACCCGAGUAGUCC